Molecule: long non-coding RNA, 266 nt
Filed under: Coturnix japonica (Japanese quail)
Lineage: Eukaryota; Metazoa; Chordata; Aves; Galliformes; Phasianidae
Description: lncRNA (ENSCJPG00005015154.1)
Source: RNAcentral
GAGCAGUGGUGAGCUAUGCAGUUCUAUGCUCGCAGCAAGAGGAGCCCAGCUGUCUGAACAAGCUGCAUGAGCCUCUGCUGCUGGGAACUCAGACUACCUCAUUUUAUGAACUGUGGAUCUCUAUCAGCAGCAGAGUGCCUCAAAGACAUACAAGACAAAGAAUGGCUUUGCUAGCUGAGACUACUAUACACUCCCAGACAGAAGACAGCAGAAGACACCUGGAAAGAUGAUUACGAAUGGCAAGGUGGCUGAAUCCUGGCAUAGGA